AUGCCAGAUGUAAUGCAUCUCCAAACCGACAUAGCUACUAACCCAUCUACAAAUAGGAGCCGUUCCUUUCACUAUGGUUCAUUCCACCUCACACACACAUACACUGGAGUACCCCCACCACUUUCCUUUUCACCUUCUGCCACACUUCUGUCCUUCACUGCGGUGAAGCCCUUUGGGUUGCAUGCUCCACCAGAACAAGAGAGUUAUGAGAACUCUAAGGCGAUAGACACUGGUACUUAUGAUGAGUCUGGUCAUCUUAAUGACUUCGGUUAUUCUGAAUUGGAGUAUGUUUAUGAGGAAGUCGACAAUCAAGGCUAUGAAGAGUAG
RNAcentral lists this ribosomal RNA (327 nucleotides) under Triticum aestivum (bread wheat). RNAcentral describes it as "partial small subunit ribosomal RNA". The record is from RNAcentral. Lineage: Eukaryota; Viridiplantae; Streptophyta; Magnoliopsida; Poales; Poaceae.